GUGAAUCAUCGAAUUUUUGAACGCAAAUUGCGCUUCCUGGCAUCCCGGGAAGUAUGCCUGUUUGAGGGUCAGUAUUAAUAAAAAAUCGGGUUGGUGACAAAGUGUGACGUUUCCGGAGUUUGGGCUAUCUUAACUUUUUUGGUUAAGGGACUUAUAAUUGACCUUUGUUGCGCAUUUUUAGACGUACAUAGAUUUUUUUUUUAUUCGUCUAUUCUUAAUGCGAAAAUCUUAUUAGAUGCGAUCACAGCGUGUGUUUUCGUGUC
RNAcentral lists this unclassified non-coding RNA (263 nucleotides) under Glomeraceae sp. RNAcentral's name for it is "partial contains 5.8S ribosomal RNA and internal transcribed spacer 2". The stretch from base 1 to 71 matches the Rfam family "5.8S ribosomal RNA", at positions 84 to 154 of the family's 154-position model. The record is from RNAcentral. Lineage: Eukaryota; Fungi; Glomeromycota; Glomeromycetes; Glomerales; Glomeraceae.